CAUGCAAGUCGAGCGUUCCGGCAGCCAACUUAAGUUGGGAGCCGGAUAGCGGCGGACGGGUGAGUAACGCGUGGGCAACCUACCCUUAAGACCGGGAUAACACCUCGAAAGGGGUGCUAAUACUGGAUAAGGUCAUAAGGUGGCAUCACCUUAUGAAGAAAGGGGGAACCCGCUUAAGGAUGGGCCCGCGUCCCAUCAGCUAGUUGGUGAGGUAACGGCUCACCAAGGCGACGACGGGUAGCCGGCCUGAGAGGGUGGUCGGCCACACUGGGACUGAGACACGGCCCAGACUCCUACGGGAGGCAGCAGUGGGGAAUCUUGCGCAAUGGGCGAAAGCCUGACGCAGCGACGCCGCGUGAGCGAGGAAGGCCUUCGGGUCGUAAAGCUCAAUAGUGUGGGAAGAAGUGAUGACGGUACCACACGAAAG
This 427-nucleotide ribosomal RNA is filed under the name uncultured bacterium. RNAcentral describes it as "bacterial SSU rRNA". It matches the Rfam family "Bacterial small subunit ribosomal RNA", at positions 54 to 488 of the family's 1533-position model. The record is from RNAcentral.